RNAcentral lists this ribosomal RNA (1620 nucleotides) under Triticum aestivum (bread wheat). RNAcentral describes it as "partial small subunit ribosomal RNA". Lineage: Eukaryota; Viridiplantae; Streptophyta; Magnoliopsida; Poales; Poaceae. The record is from RNAcentral.
AUGCAAGACCGCAAAGUGAUUGCUUAUGCCUCUCGGCAAUUGCGCCCUCACGAAGAGAACUACCCAGUUCACGACCUCGAACUUGCUGCUGUCAUUCAUGCGCUGAAGCAGUGGCAACAUUACCUUCUCGGUAAUCGUUGCGAGAUCUUCACUGACCACCAAAGUCUGAAGUAUCUGUUUACUCAGCCAGACCUGAACCUCCGUCAGCAGAUAUGGAUGGAGAUUGUUGCAGACUUUGACUUGGGAAUUUCCUAUACGCCAGGCAAGGCUAAUGUAAUGGCUGAUGCCUUGAGCCGCAAGUCUUACUGCGACCACCUCCAGGUUCACAAAGUUCAGGCCUCGCUUGUUGAAGAAGUCAGAAAGCUGAACCUCCAUAUUGUUCCUCCGGGUGCACUCGCUCCCCCUCCUAAGGAGUUUCGCAAGAUGAACCUCUGGGUUGUUUCCCAGGGUUCGCUCCAUACCCUGGCUGUCGAACCAGAUCUCUUGGACUCCAUCAAGAGAAUACAUGGUUAUGACUCUGAAGCCCACAAGAUUAAGCGCUACCUCGCAGAAGGAAAGCCCUCAUCCUUCACUAUUGCUGAAGAUGGCACUUUGUACUUCAAGGGCCGCCUAGUGGUGCCAUGUGCAGAGAAAAACCUGGAUAUGACUCAGGAAGUUAUGAAAGAAGCUCAUGUUACGCCUCUAUGUAUCCAUCCUGGUAGUACAAAGAUGUACCAAGACAUCCGUCAUAGAUUCUGGUGGUCUAAUAUGAAGCAAGACAUUGCUCGUUAUGUUGCUGAGUGUGACGUUUGCCGUCGUAUCAAAGCAGAACAUCAAAGGCCUGCUGGAACUCUGCAACCUAUCUCUAUUCCUGAAUGGAAAUGGGACCAUGUUGAGAUGGACUUCGUCACUGGAUUUCCCAAAUCACAGAAAGGUAAUGAUGCUAUUCUUGUCGUCAUUGACCGACUUUCUAAGGUUGCACAUUUUCUGGCAGUCAAAGAAAUGAUCACUGCUAGUCAGCUGGCAACGCUCUAUAUGUCCAGGAUUGUUUCACUCCACGGUAUUCCAUUGGUUAUUAGCUCAGACCAUGGCAGCUUAUUCACUUCAAGAUUCUGGGCAAGUUUCCAAGAAGCUAUGGGAACUCAUCUGUCAUUCAGUACUGCGUUUCAUCCUCAGUCGCAAGGGCAAGUUGAACGUGUCAACCAAGUUCUCGAAGACAUGCUUCGAGCUUGUGUUAUUUCCUUCGGCAAGAAAUGGGAGGAAUCUCUCCCGUAUGCUGAGUUCUCUUAUAAUAAUAGCUAUCAAGCUAGUCUGAAGAUGGCCCCCUUCGAAGUGUUAUAUGGACGAAAGUGUCGAACCCCUCUGAACUGGUCAGAAACUAGGGAACGUCCACUCUUUGGUCCGGAUAUUUUCCAACAUGCCGAAGAACAGGUCCGCAUUAUUCGUGAGAAUCUCAAGACUGCUCAGUCGCGUCAGAAGAGUCAGUAUGACCGUCAUCAUAAAGACAUGGUCUAUCAACCUGGCGAAAAGGCUUAUCUUCGAGUCACACCAAUGAAGGGUGCUCACCGCUUCGGAAUCAAGGGCAAACUAGCUCCUCGCUAUAUUGGCCCAUUCACUAUUCUGGAAAGGCGUGGAAAAGUG